RNAcentral lists this small RNA (500 nucleotides) under Pan troglodytes (chimpanzee). RNAcentral describes it as "processed transcript". Lineage: Eukaryota; Metazoa; Chordata; Mammalia; Primates; Hominidae. The record is from RNAcentral.
UUGCCCUUUUUUUUAGGAGUGUUCCCUGGAAAAGAGGGACGGAUGAACCUGGAAGGCCAAAUCCUUGUAGCUGUCUUCUUGCCCCGGUCAGUGCCAGCCGUACUAUUCACAACACUGCUGCUACCGAGGCCUAGGAUCAGUUCUUAAGAGCAGCCCCGGUAACUGGAGGAAUGGGAGCCGUUUUGAUGAGAAAAAUGGGCUGGAGAGAAGGAGAAGGAUUAGGAAAAAACAAAGAAGGCAAUAAGGAACCCAUCCUAGUUGAUUUUAAGACAGACCGAAAAGGUCUUGUUGCAGUAGGAGAAAGAGCACAAAAGAGGUCUGGGAACUUCUCUGCUGCAAUGAAAGAUCUGUCAGGCAAACAUCCUGUGUCUGCUUUGAUGGAGAUCUGUAAUAAAAGAAGGUGGCAACCACCUGAAUUUCUAUUGGUCCAUGAUAGUGGCCCUGAUCAUCGCAAACAUUUUCUCUUUAGGGUAUUGAUAAAUGGAAGCGCUUACCAGCCC